This 185-nucleotide small RNA is filed under the name Intrasporangium oryzae. Its description in RNAcentral is "c-di-AMP sequence". It matches the Rfam family "c-di-AMP riboswitch aptamer (ydaO/yuaA leader)". Rfam says of the family: This family represents a conserved RNA structure found upstream of the ydaO and yuaA genes in Bacillus subtilis and related genes in other bacteria. The ydaO/yuaA element is thought to act as a genetic "off" switch for the ydaO and yuaA genes in its native state. Lineage: Bacteria; Bacillati; Actinomycetota; Actinomycetes; Micrococcales; Intrasporangiaceae. The record is from RNAcentral.
UUCCUGAGCGCGCCGAGCCUCGCCAGCCAGGAACUCCAGCCCGAGAGUCGGGCCAGGCGAGGACGGGGGACCCAUAUUGGUCGGCGACGACGACGUCUCGACCUGGGGUGAGGUCGCGAGAGCGACGGGGCACCUGACGCCCCAACCCGACAGCUAACUCCGCAGGCGCACGUCAGGAAGGAAUC